This 253-nucleotide ribosomal RNA is filed under the name uncultured bacterium. Its description in RNAcentral is "partial 16S ribosomal RNA". It matches the Rfam family "Bacterial small subunit ribosomal RNA", at positions 524 to 776 of the family's 1533-position model. The record is from RNAcentral.
CACGUAGGGGGCAAGCGUUGUCCGGAUUCAUUGGGCGUAAAGAGCGUGUAGGCGGCCAGGUAGGUCGGUUGUGAAAACUGGAGGCUCAACCUUCAGAGGUCGACCGAAACCAUCUGGCUAGAGUCCGGGAGAGGAGAGUGGAAUUCCUGGUGUAGCGGUGAAAUGCGCAGAUAUCAGGAAGAACACCCGUGGCGAAAGCGGCUUCCUGGUCCAGCACCGACGUUCAGGCACGAAAGCGUGGGGAGCAAACAGG